UGGCAAUCGAUUCUUUCAAGGAUCUUGAAGACGCUCCCAACGAUCGGUCGAUCACCAUUCGUCGAUCGUGACACUCACUACUUACUCCAGAUACGAUGGGAUGUCACCGUUGUCUAACCGAACGCACCCCUUCCGAGAACAAUCAAACGGCGCUUACGAUCGCCACCAAAGAUAAAUUAUACCGUAGCCGAGAGUUAUUUGAAUAGAAACUGACCGCGCAUCCCGGGCGAAUCCUCAUAUUUUCUCGCAAUGCCGCCCGUCGGGCUCGGGCUGCUUACUCUUGUUCCCUAAGUGCAGGAAAACGUAAGUUACUUCGCCCAAUCAGCGGAACGCCGUAGUUAUAUAGGCGCGUAUUCCUCCCCCAGUGCUAUCGUCGGAGAUGGUUCGCGAUGUGCUGGGCCAGCUGUUGCGAAGGUGGUGGUAAAGUCGUCCUGGUGGAGGAGGCAUUUCGCGUUGCUGGAGGAAAGGAACUCACGAUGGUGGUGGGUUCCAACGGACACGGGUUACGGAAAGCUCGAAUCUCGUGUAGCGAUGGGCCCGAUCUCCUACUUGUUCAUUCUAUCUGAACUAGAAGUAAUGAUAUCUACAUGGCAGUGAAAUUUUAUGAAGGAUGACCGAAUUAAGAGACUACAUUCAAAACCAUAGUACAUAUUUAACGUGUAUCAUGAAAUCUGAAGAGCAUUUUUAAUUAUAAGGAAUUCUGUAUGUCUUUACAGAAUUGUAAAGGAUUAUAAAAGGAGGAGAAGAGUAUCCGUGGUAUUAAUCUCUACAUCGUAUCAAUAGGAAAUUGAUCCCAUCGCUACGUCCAUUCUCCUUCCUCCUCGCCUUUGUCCACCUCCUACGAACCUGGCGAUCUUACUUCGUGCCACAGUGGGCCCAUCGUUCCGGAGAAAGUGAUCGGGAACACGAUGAUCCGGUCGAGCGAGCCAGGCGGUUUCGUUCCCUUGGUAUUUACGCGCCUGUGUCCGGCAAAAACGAAGUUCAUGGGGAGGCAAGGUUAUGUAGCAAGGUUAUACCCGGUGAUCCAGAUUACCUGCAGACGGGAGAGUGGUGGAACCAGUUGGAGCGCGGCAACUAGCGUUUGACGAAAUUCUUUUUUACCCUUUUUACGGUUCAUUCGAUUUCAGAAUAGCGUCAGGCGAUUUCUCUUCCGGGAAGCCCUCGGGCCUGGGCCAUUGCUUUUCCUUUUGCGGAUUGUUUUCGACGAUGAUUGCCCUCAAGGGGUAAUCGAAACGAUUAAGAAAUGUUAGAGAUCGGCAGGUUGAACAUUUGCGGUGUAUGGAGGAUCCGCUCAGCGAAUUUCACUUUGCUUUCGAAAGGUCACUCGUGUUUUAGGGAUAUGUAGGAUAUUAUUAUAUAGAACAUUACGUAUAAAAUAUUAUGUAAUGCUUGUAUUGUACAAUAUUGCUAUUUAAUCCACUGUGUUAUUCUGUUAUACUACGUACUGUUAUUACAUGCUAUAUAUUUAUUUUUUAUUUAUUUCAUUAAAUUAAAUGAACAAAUUUUUUGACAAUAGAACAAUUUUUAUUUCAGAACAAAAGGGAAUACAUCAGGUACAAAACUAUUUGUUUAAAAUAAAUAGUAAAAGCGUGAAAAGCGUCCCCACAAAUUAAAGGAACUAAUUAUCGCUGCUAGGCACAAUCGAUGCUUCCAGGAAUAGUCUCUUCUCCGCGAUGAAUGAUUAUAACCUUCCCCGGUUCGCACGAUUUCUAACGAUUCCUCUUUCAUUAAUUAAACAUGCAAACACAGGCUUCCGACCGUAGACGUCAACGAUACCGUUGGCACAAUUUUAUUGAUCAUUAAGUGAUUCAAUCCCAGCAUGGCAAAGCCACACGCAGCGUUUAUAAUCAGCUUACGCGAAGAGGAAGAGGAUGUUACCGAUAAGCUUUCGCAAGAUUGAAUCUUCGUAAAAGGAACACGACGAUGUAGCGUUUUAUUUGAAAAGCUCAUAAUCACGGAUGCCUGCACGGGUGAAAGUAUAUACAUACCGAAGGAAGAAAAUUUAUAACGUAAAAGCAACAGGCCUGCAGACCGAGGAAUUACGAGGCAAAUUUUACGGAGUCGAGCAAUUACGAGAUACAGGUCAAUUUCACUGGAUCAAUUUUGCAAUUUAACGGAUAGACGUCGAGGGAGACGCUAGAGGAACUUGGACGUCGUUUCAGGAAGUUAUCCACGGUGACGAGUCACUCGACUCGAUCCGCUAACAAGCUGAAAGCGAUAAGUGGUUAAAUUCGCACAAGAUACAUUCGUGUAUUUGUCGGAUGAAAGCGAAUUCUUUGCUUUACUGCGGACAGCUAGGAGUAUAUUACAUGAAAUUGUUAGAAUACGUUCCAGCAAUUCCGAAUUCGUUGCAUCAAUCUUAGAAAAUAAUGUAAAUCUCAUUAUUCUCUAAAUAUAAAAAAGUCCACUAAAAAUAUACAAACUAUAUUAGUCGCACACAAAAAGUAUUAAACACCGAUAACAAAGUCAUUUUAAAUAUUUGUAAUAACAGUCAACACAGUAACGAGUGUAUACUCUGUAGAUGUCAAUAAAUAUUCGGAGAGAUUGUAUCUAAUGUAACGUAUAUUGUUUGCUCAGCGCGUGGGUAGAACUAAAAGAGCGACGUUUGAAACAUUCCAAAGACGAUAGCAAAUAAAAGAGCAUGUGUUUGAGGAAUUUUUAUUUGCACUCUAAGUGUUCGGUUUAUGGACGAGUACCUACGAUUCACUUUCUAAACGUGCCGUCCCUCAAGGUAGUUGAUAUCGCUUUUCGAAAUGUCUAGCUGUUCGAUAUUUGGGUUACGUUCACCUGCUAAGUCUUCAUGGAAAAUAAAUAAUUGCGACAUUUUCUUAGGAAACGUUGGACCCGUUGACUGAUAUAGAGCGAGAGUUUUGUUCCGUUUAUGGUAUCUUUUGUAAGCUUAGAAUAUUUUAAGCUUGUAAGCAGAUAUUUCAUUUGGAAGAGAAUGAAUCAUCGCUCAUGAAGGAAUGUCAUUCUACUUUUGCAUCAAUUCUGAAAUCGUGUUUUUGCGUGUCUCACCAUGGGUAAUCAGUUUAAAUCUUUACACGAAUUUCUCCUUUAGUGAUUUCUUCGCCAUGCCCCUAUCUUGAAGUCGACAAUAAUCCAUCGAGAGACUCGACAUAUAGAAGAAAGUUUUAUCCUUCGUAUUUUCCACUCGAUACAUAUCUUUCGUUUCUUCUUACCUCGUGAUUUUGCUUUCUACCAUAACGUAUAUUACAAAUUGAUGGAAAAAGCUGAAGAAUCAUGGAUUAAACUAUCAUCAGCUGUUUCGUGGGAAGCAUUGGAACGCAUUUACGAUUCAAUUAUAGGAACACUUCGUUCUUCGUGACUCGAGAACACAUUUCAAGAUGUCUUCGGUGUCAGCAUAUGUUGUGGAAUCAGAUACUCUGUUAUUGAGUCUAUUAAUCCGGAGGAUAAAUAACGCAGCACGUCCCGAAGAAGAAACAGCCUUAUUUACUUUCUUCAACUCUUUUUACUUCUUCGAGUAUUGUUUGUACACAAGAGCAGUUUAUAUCUUGUUUAUACACCACGCACAAAGAAUCAGAAAGAUCAGUGAAAACUUGUACUGCUAUCAACUAUUGACGCAUUUAUCAUAAAUCGCCAUUAAUCUUGUGAGCACAAUUAUAUCUUUCUGCGCCAAAAAACCUUCCAUUUGUCUUGGACUUUUGAAGCCUGUAAUUUGGUGCCAGUGAAAGGCGCCGGAGAUGAUUUCAUGCCGGCGGUCGCACACACGCACUGUUCGCAUGACCAUAUAAACAAACGGUUAUCACGUUACCUAAUCGUUACCACUAGCCACCCAUUGUCAAUUAACACGUAGCCCGGACAUUUCGCCAAUUAAAGCGAUCGUGCGAAUCCAUUUCGCUAAAAUGGGAGAAAGAAAGGAUUAUGGAAAUUUUAAAUGCUUGUUUGUCUUAGGUCGAAACUUUCAUUGUUGUCCAAGCUUGAAGUUGCACUCUUUUGAGAGCAAACACGUAACUUGUCUGGUACAAUGAAACUAAAUGUAUACUUUUUAAUUGACUUACUUUAUUAUUAACUUUUCAAGUGUGCGUUUCACGGCCCACAUGAUCGUACAUUAGCAUAUUUCUGUCUAAUCUCGGAAUAUCCGCUUGUUCCGUCGGGUUCAGUGAAAGUAACAAAAGCGAGCGGGCGAUUAAUGUAACAUCCGUGAUUCGGUUAAUCUGAUCAUUACAGUUCCUAAACCCAACUGGGACUGUUUUUAAUUAAUACGUGGACACUCAGGAGAAAGGUAUUUCGUUCCUCGGAGUAUCAUGGUUCAUGAUAUUAAUAGAACAAAAUUACAUUUGCAGGUAGUAGGAUGUUCGCCAGGAAAGUCUCCAAGUAUCAUAAUAGAACCGUUUAGAAAAUACAAAGUCAUGCUUUCUAAUCGCUGCGUUUAAUUAUCAAUCACUAGACCGAUUAACGAUCAUUACAAGGCAAUACAAACUGUACGAUUUUCUUUUUAGGAUACAAAACCGGAUGCUCCGCUCUCACAAAGUUUAGGAAGCCACGGAAUUGCAGGCAUUUUUAUGCUGUCUUGCAUGAGAUUUCAAAACGAGGGUGAACAAAGAAACACGGUACAUACACAAAAUGUAAUUGUCACUGGAGAGUGUCAGAAUGCGCUAAUCGUCUAGCAAGCAGGAUCAACUUUCACAUAUUGUAACAACUUCAUGAACAUCAUGACGGUGAAACUGCGACGAAGAGGAAACGCGUAUCCGCGAGGUCAUCAAGUUCAGACUACCCUUUUCCCAUGUGACUCGGUCUUCUCUUUCCUGGUUGUUGAGACGAUUUCCUCGAUGGGAAAGUCACGGUCAUGUAACGUGGCCAUCCUCCGCCGCAUCUACAGAGAUGCCAUCCGUUUUCGACGUACGACAACGAACGUGCACACGCUUCCGCUGUAACGAACGAGUAGAGAGUAGAGGAAGCAGCGGAGACGAACCUACCAGGUCGAGAGUGAAACUGUUCGAUGCAACGUGAUUGCACCCAAUUAAGAAACUUCUUGAAUCAACAGUUUUCGAACCGGUGUAUCGGGUUUUGCGCGGCGGUCGUGAAAAUAUUCUUUAACUUAAUGGUUCAACUUGUUGGAAAAUCACGCAUGUUCUGACGCUCGCUGUGCACUGGUACCCAAGAUAUACGCUUCUUCCCACCACGUACCAGUU
This is a long non-coding RNA of Megachile rotundata (alfalfa leafcutting bee), 5156 nucleotides long. The record is from RefSeq and is a predicted model, not a curated record. NCBI's taxonomy places the organism in Eukaryota, Metazoa, Arthropoda, Insecta, Hymenoptera, Megachilidae.